Molecule: ribosomal RNA, 502 nt
Filed under: uncultured bacterium
Lineage: Bacteria
Description: bacterial SSU rRNA
Rfam family: Bacterial small subunit ribosomal RNA
Source: RNAcentral
GUCGGUUGUCACAUGACAGCCUGUCUGAAGUCGGGGGACCGCAAGGCCUGACACUUGGAGAUGAGCUCGCGUCCUAUCAGCUAGUUGGUGAGGUAACGGCUCACCAAGGCUUACGGGUAGCUGGUCUGAGAGGAUGGUCAGCCACACUGGGACUGAGACACUGCCCAGACUCCUACGGGAGGCUGCAGUCGAGAAUCUUUCGCAAUGGGCGCAAGCCUGACGAAGCGACGCCGCGUGCAGGAUGAAGGUCUUCGGAUUGUAAACUGCUGUCUUUUGGGAGCAAGGAACCGUCAUUAACACCGGCGGAACUUGAUAGUACCGAAGGAGGAAGCCACGGCUAACUCUGUGCCAGCAGCCGCGGUAAUACAGAGGUGGCAAGCGUUGUUCGGAUUUACUGGGCGUAAGGGUGCGUAGGCGGUUCUGCGUGUCGGGUGUGAAAUCCCACGGAUUAUCUGUGGAACGGCAUUCGAAACUGCAGGGCUUGAGUGCAGGAGAGGAGAGG